RNAcentral lists this small RNA (1223 nucleotides) under Pan troglodytes (chimpanzee). RNAcentral's name for it is "processed transcript". Lineage: Eukaryota; Metazoa; Chordata; Mammalia; Primates; Hominidae. The record is from RNAcentral.
GGUUCCGCGGCGGCCGCGCUCCGGGAGACUUCCGGCAGGGCGGGCGCGGGGUCUUGGCGAACGGUCUUCGGAAGCGGCGGCGGCGCGAUGACCACGCUACGGGCCUUCACCUGCGACGACCUGUUCCGCUUCAACAACAUUCCUGGAUCCACUUUAAAAAAAACAACAGGGCGGUAUGUGAAAACUAAGGACCAAGUGGUUCCGAUUCAAGUGUCAGGAAGAUGGAAAGAACUAUGGGAUAAGAUGGCUGGGAACAUUUCAAAGAGGGGGUGAGCCUUGAAGAUGGAUAACACAUUGUAACUUGGAUCCACUUACAGAAACUUAUGGGAUUCCUUUCUACCUACAAUACCUCGCCCACUGGCCAGAGUAUUUCAUUGUUGCAGAGGCACCUGGUGGAGAAUUAAUGGGUUAUAUUAUGGGUAAAGCAGAAGGCUCAGUAGCUAGGGAAGAAUGGCACGGGCACGUCACAGCUCUGUCUGUUGCCCCAGAAUUUCGACGCCUUGGUUUGGCUGCUAAACUUAUGGAGUUACUAGAGGAGAUUUCAGAAAGAAAGGGUGGAUUUUUUGUCGAUCUCUUUGUAAGAGUAUCUAACCAAGUUGCAGUUAACAUGUACAAGCAGUUGGGCUACAGUGUAUAUAGGACGGUCAUAGAGUACUAUUCGGCCAGCAACGGGGAGCCUGAUGAGGACGCUUAUGAUAUGAGGAAAGCACUUUCCAGGGAUACUGAGAAGAAAUCCAUCAUACCAUUACCUCAUCCUGUGAGGCCUGAAGACAUUGAAUAACCCUGGGCAGUGGUUCUUAGGCAGAUACUCUAGAUGCUUUAUGGACAAUAUUAUUUUCAUUGGAUGAUUCUGGAGCUCUAUUAGGAGAAAAGUAAUCAUUUUAGGUCUUAAAGACUUCAAGAAAAUACAGGUUAUCAAUUUAUUUUAAAUCUCAUUGUUUCCAGUUAGCAAUAUCAUACCUAUUAAAGCUGUUCAUUGUAACAAAAUUCAAUCAAAAAGGCAGCUAGGUCAGAAGGAAACAUACCACUCUCAUGGUUCAUAGUAUUCACUGUAUGUAUGCUAGGGAAAAGACUUGCUCCAGUCUCCUCCUCAAUUCUGUGCCUGAGAACCACUGCUGCAUAUAUUUGUUUUUAAAUUUUGUAUUGAACUGUUAAUUGAAGCUUUAAAAGCAUAUAUGAAAUGUAUAAAUCUAAGAUGUAUAAUACAUUGUUGACUCUAUGAA